ACCAUGGAAACCAGGAUGGUGAUGCGUCGAGAGCAGGAGGAGCAGUCGUCCCAGAUGUCUCACAGCAUGCAGCUGUCCUCCCAGAUCAAGAAGAAGACCUUCACUUCAAGCGAUGAGGAGGCCUCCUAUUCAGGUGUCUUUCCCAUCAUACCCGGUGAUGUGAUGUCAGUCAAAGAGGUCCUCGACAUGGACAACUUUCCUCGGCACAGGACAUGGACGAUGCAGGCAAAUGAUCCUCUUUAAAAACAAUAACAUCCUUGAGGUCCAAAAAUGUGACUCAAAAGCAUAGAAAGUGGUGCAACCAAAUGAUCCUUUAAAUAGUCCUAGUAGCAGAGGCUCACAAAAACCAGAAGCCUGCAUCUGCAAGUCUUGAUGCGGGGAUUUCUAAUGCCGGAUGAGUCUUCUGUGUAUGAAAAAAAAAAAGGGCAGCAACCAUGGACGAGUCUCUUCACACUGUCAACAAGGCUCCACUUUUUUUCCCUGAGGACUUCCUUCCUGGAUGAUCUGUUUAUGUCAUAAAACCCCUGCCUCUCCGUCACUAUCCAUGCUCUCUCUCUCCACUUUAUUUGAGAAAGAAGAGUGGGUCAACUUCCACUGAUGCUUUGCCCAGCGAGCUAAUAAAGCACAAGAGCUUUUCUGUCAAUAGAGAAUCUCAAUAAACAACGGAAAUCAGGGCUUUUUCCCU
Oreochromis aureus is the source of this 685-nucleotide long non-coding RNA. NCBI's taxonomy places the organism in Eukaryota, Metazoa, Chordata, Actinopteri, Cichliformes, Cichlidae. The record is from Ensembl.